This 556-nucleotide ribosomal RNA is filed under the name Staphylococcus warneri. RNAcentral describes it as "bacterial SSU rRNA". It matches the Rfam family "Bacterial small subunit ribosomal RNA", at positions 366 to 916 of the family's 1533-position model. Lineage: Bacteria; Bacillati; Bacillota; Bacilli; Caryophanales; Staphylococcaceae. The record is from RNAcentral.
UCGCAUGGGCGAGCCUGACGGAGCACGCCGCGUGAGUGAUGAAGGUCUUCGGAUCGUAAAACUCUGUUAUCAGGGAAGAACAAAUGUGUAAGUAACUGUGCACAUCUUGACGGUACCUGAUCAGAAAGCCACGGCUAACUACGUGCCAGCAGCCGCGGUAAUACGUAGGUGGCAAGCGUUAUCCGGAAUUAUUGGGCGUAAAGCGCGCGUAGGCGGUUUUUUAAGUCUGAUGUGAAAGCCCACGGCUCAACCGUGGAGGGUCAUUGGAAACUGGAAAACUUGAGUGCAGAAAAGGAAAGUGGAAUUCCAUGUGUAGCGGUGAAAUGCGCAAAGAUAUGGAGGAACACCAGUGGCGAAGGCGACUUUCUGGUCUGUAACUGACGCUGAUGUGCGAAAGCGUGGGGAUCAAACAGGAUUAGAUACCCUGGUAGUCCACGCCGUAAACGAUGAGUGCUAAGUGUUAGGGGGUUUCCGCCCCUUAGUGCUGCAGCUAACGCAUUAAGCACUCCGCCUGGGGAGUACGACCGCAAGGUUGAAACUCAAAUGAAAUUGACGG